AUUUAAAUAGUUUAAAAAAAAUAUUGAUUUGUGGAGUCAAUGAUAUAAAUU
RNAcentral lists this transfer RNA (51 nucleotides) under Apis nigrocincta. RNAcentral describes it as "tRNA-His". The record is from RNAcentral. Lineage: Eukaryota; Metazoa; Arthropoda; Insecta; Hymenoptera; Apidae.